CUUAAGAUUCUUGCUUCACAUUUUAACACGCAAACUGUGACAAUGCAUUUAUGUGCUUUUCUUCUGCUGAGCUCGGCUUUGGCUCUUCAUCAUCCAUCAGUCACUUUUGGUCAAAUUAACAUUUUAGACAAAUGGAAGAGCAUUCCAGAUAUAAACAAAG
This is a long non-coding RNA of Carassius gibelio (silver crucian carp), 160 nucleotides long. RefSeq lists it as uncharacterized. NCBI's taxonomy places the organism in Eukaryota, Metazoa, Chordata, Actinopteri, Cypriniformes, Cyprinidae. The record is from RefSeq and is a predicted model, not a curated record. The transcript is spliced from 4 exons.